GACGAACGCUGGCGGCGUGCUUAACACAUGCAAGUCGAACGGAAAGGCCCUGCUUGCAGGGUACUCGAGUGGCGAACGGGUGAGUAACACGUGGGUGAUCUGCCCUGCACUUCGGGAUAAGCCUGGGAAACUGGGUCUAAUACCGGAUAGGAGCCAUUUUUAGUGUGAUGGUUGGAAAGUUUUUUCGGUGUAGGAUGAGCUCGCGGCCUAUCAGCUUGUUGGUGGGGUAAUGGCCUACCAAGGCGGCGACGGGUAGCCGGCCUGAGAGGGUGGACGGCCACAUUGGGACUGAGAUACGGCCCAGACUCCUACGGGAGGAAGCAGUGGGGAAUAUUGCACAAUGGGCGCAAGCCUGAUGCAGCGACGCCGCGUGGGGGAUGACGGCCUUCGGGUUGUAGACUCCUUUCGCUAGGGACGAAGCUUUUUGUGACGGUACCUAGAUAAGAAGCACCGGCUAACUACGUG
This 465-nucleotide ribosomal RNA is filed under the name uncultured bacterium. RNAcentral describes it as "partial 16S ribosomal RNA". It matches the Rfam family "Bacterial small subunit ribosomal RNA", at positions 28 to 507 of the family's 1533-position model. The record is from RNAcentral.